UUGGCCUUGACAUACUAAGAACUUUCCAGAGAUGGAUUGGUGCCUUCGGGAACUUAGAUACAGGUGCUGCAUGGCUGUCGUCAGCUCGUGUCGUGAGAUGUUGGGUUAAGUCCGCAACGAGCGCAACCCUUUUCCUUAUUUGCCAGCGGUAAUGCCGGGAACUUUAAGGAUACUGCCAGUGACAAACUGGAGGAAGGCGGGGACGACGUCAAGUCAUCAUGGCCCUUACGGCCAGGGCUACACACGUGCUACAAUGGUCGGUACAAAGGGUUGCUACCUCGCGAGAGGAUGCUAAUCUCAAAAAGCCGAUCGUAGUCCGGAUCGCAGUCUGCAACUCGACUGCGUGAAGUCGGAAUCGCUAGUAAUCGCGGAUCAGAAUGCCGCGGUGAAUACGUUCCCGGGCCUUGUACACACCGCCCGUCACACCAUGGGAGUUUGUUGCACCAGAAGUAGGUAGUCUAACCGCAGGGAGGACGCUUACCACGGUGUGGCCGAUGACUGGGGUGAAGUCGUAACAAGGUAAGCGUAGAUGA
This 533-nucleotide ribosomal RNA is filed under the name uncultured bacterium. RNAcentral's name for it is "bacterial SSU rRNA". It matches the Rfam family "Bacterial small subunit ribosomal RNA", at positions 975 to 1509 of the family's 1533-position model. The record is from RNAcentral.